CCUACGGGUGGCAGCAGUGAGGAAUAUUGGUCAAUGGGCGCGAGCCUGAACCAGCCAAGUAGCGUGAAGGAUGACUGCCCUACGGGUGGUAAACUUCUUUUAUAAAGGAAUAAAGUGAGGCACGUGUGCCUUUUUGUAUGUACUUUAUGAAUAAGGAUCGGCUAACUCCGUGCCAGCAGCCGCGGUAAUACGGAGGCUCCGAGCGUUAUCCGGAUUUAUUGGGUUUAAAGGGAGCGUCGCUGGGUUGUUAAGUCAGUUGUGAAAGUUUGCGGCUCAACCGUAAAAUUGCAAUUGAUACUGGCAGGCUUGAGUACAGUUGAGGUAGGCGGAAUUCGUGGUGUAGCGGUGAAAUGCUUAGAGAUCACGAAGAACUCCGAUGGCGAAGGCAGCUUACUAAACUGCCACUGACAUUGAUGCUCGAAAGUGUGGGUAUCAAACAGGAUUAGAUACCCGGGUAGUC
RNAcentral lists this ribosomal RNA (460 nucleotides) under uncultured bacterium. RNAcentral describes it as "partial 16S ribosomal RNA". It matches the Rfam family "Bacterial small subunit ribosomal RNA", at positions 338 to 795 of the family's 1533-position model. The record is from RNAcentral.